AUCAAACAAGCCCUGCUGAUAUGAUAAAUAGUUCAAACUUACAUCUAAGCAUGCCAUAUAUUACAUCAAAAGCUAGUGAGGAUACAUCUGUUUCCAUAACUCGGAGAGGGUUCACAUGAUUCAUCGCAUGAUUCACUAUCAAACAAAAGUAGCAAGAUCCGCCCACACAAGACAGUGCACUAGCCCUAAGAUGGUUUGAUAACAUGCAUCAUUUCUGGUAAUUAAACACAGGGCAAUGCAAACUACCCUGAAGGAUUAGCGCGACCAACUAUUUCUUAUCAUCGAUCUCUCGGGCAAUGACCACAACACGGACAACAGCAUGGGAAUCGAUUUUUGGGGCGAUGUCCACAGGACUGACCGCGACAUCGGAAUCGAUCUCUGGGGCGAUGUCCACAGGAUGGACAGCGGUAUCGGAAUCGAUCUCUGGGGCGAUGCCAACAGGACAGGCCACAACAUCGGAAUCAUCAAGGACAACCACCGGCACCUGCACAACACUAACAUAUUAGCAAGCACAUUGCAAAUAAUCAAAAAGCAAGCACAUUGCAAAUAAUCAAAAACCACAACUAUGGUAAUAAUCCAUUAUUUUUUACCUUGUGCAGCUCACCGGGGGAUCUCAUCCCUCCGGGGGCCAUCUCCUCGUCCUCGAUGGGGGCCAUCAUCUUGCCAGGGGAAUACUGCUUCUCAACGACGACUAUCUCCUCAAACUCGGUCUUGAGCCUCACAUAGGUGGCAAUCAGAGCUCCUGGGGUAGGCACAGUGGGGCCCUUGCUGUUCUUCCAACUUUCUUUGAGGAGUUGCCAACGUCCUCAACUCUUUGGCCAGUGCUUGUUUCUUGGAGUUCUUAGUAUCCAUGGGUUGGCCCGCCAACAUGGUCAACUUGUUGGUCGGUGCUCACUUCCUGGAGAUCGCUUUCUCCAGUGGGUUGUCCGCUGGCAACUCUUUGCCUAGUGCUCCAGGAUCCAUCAAUGAACUGACAAACAAAAGGCAAUCGAAAGGAAACCACAAUCGCAAUGAAAACGGGAAAAGAAUAGGAUGUGAGAAUCGGUCGGUGCUUCGCAAAAAGAAGAUUAUUGGAAUGAAAAUAUAGCAGCAUAACUGAUUCGCCCACCUUUCCUUCGUCAGUAGAGAAGAAAAAUGGCAGAAGUGAGUAGCCUGGAGUGAGGUUUUCUUCAAGAAAGGGAAGAAAGGGCUUGAACGAGCGUUCCAAUGAAAUGAUGGUUGCUUCGUCCAGUCCAACUUGGAGGCCACCUUACCACUGCUGGUAAAGGUGUGGGUUUUGUGAUAUGACGGGUCAUGACAGCCGCACCGGGGUGACAGGUGAGUCUCGACUGUAGCACCUCGCUGUGAUUUGGUGGAUGGCACGCGGGCUCGGAUGCUUUGAAAUGUCAUUAACUUGAUUUUAGUCUCUUUGGUAUUUGGAUCCAAGCAUGGAUGAGGCUAACAAGUUUUAGUCCCACUACUUUAGUCAUGAGACUAAAACGUAUCAAAGCACUCUCUCAGGCUGGUCAUAGUGGGGAGUAACUUAGACUAGUGUCAUGCAUAUGACACUAGUGUAAGUUACUACCUCCAUAGUGCAAAGUAACAUAGUAGUAGUAUCAUAUAUUGCUUCAUUUAUUAUCUCACGGACUCAUUUUGCCUCGGAAAGCGCUAUGUUAUAGUAACAUAUUAUGUUACCACAAGCACCUCUUUCCUCAUUAAAUACUUGCCACAUAAGCAGAAUUGUCUUGGGAUGUGUUAAGUUACUACCUAAGUUACUCCCACUAUGGCUAGCCUCAAUAUUGUGCACCGCGACCAAGGCGGAGAGGAAAAUGAGAGAACUACGUAAUUAAUGCAUGAGUUUAAUUAGGGUAGUUUUGUAAAGUACAAGAUACAUUCCUCCAAUCGCAAAAUGCCUUCGUUCAUGAGAUUUGAGAUUUGAGCCCUAUAAACCGGAGGGGAGGGGGUACUGCACACGGUGUAGUCUAGUCACUUAUUUUUUUUGAGUCGAAGUCUAGUCACUUGUUGAAAUCUCUAGAAAGGCAAAUACUCCUUUCUGGUUUACAGGUCUAUACUACUCCCUCCGUCUAGGUGUGUAAGUCAUCUUACGAAAACCAAAUAGUCCCAAAACACUUAGGCGCGGUGCAUUAACUUCUACCUUGUUUCUUGUUUCUUGACAUACGUAUCAACCAAUAAGAGAUGAGAGGUGUGCAUGCUUUUAAUGACUUGCAAUGGCUAGUUCAUUGCAUGGAAUGCUAUUAAUUAGCAAAUAAACAUUGGUGACCCCAGGAGGAAACGGUGCUAAGCACGUGGACCUAUGCAUAAUGAGUAUCAACCAAUGGAUAAUGGAGUUUAAUUGUUAAAUAAUAGCAAUUUUGUCUCAUGCAAGAGCCUGGCUAGUACUCCAAGAAACCGCACCACGCGAGCGUUCGCAACUGCCACGUUCGGUUUGCACUUGGCUCUUCGCCUCUUCGAGAAGACAAACAAUGAUGUUACUCCUACUUAUACAGUAUCGAAUCCACUGCUGCAUGUCUGUCCACCUCGUGCGGGAGGGAUAGCGUGUAGCGAAAGCUUCUACUUGCUGCUCCUACCUUUGCAUCCAUGACAGGUGGGCCCAACAGGUGGUUGGCCCACCUGUCAUGCAGCCAAAUGCAGGUGCAGUUAAGGCACCGGAGCUCAGUCCGCGAGGGAGAGGGCGUCGUAGUAAUCAAAUUUCUCGGGCUUGUACGAGUUGACGCGACACAUCAAAGCACUGCAUUCGAUAAAACUCUUUUUACACAUUUCAAAUGGGCUACUUCGUAUGUAGGAGUAGACAUAUUCUGCUUCGUAUGUACUCCCUCCGUUCCAAAAUAUAAGUCUUUUUAGAGAUUUCACUAUGAACUGGAGUACAUACGAAACAAAAUGAGUGAAUCUACACUCUAAAAUAUGUCUAUAUACAUUGUUUGUAGUGGAAUCCCUAAAAAGACUUACAUUUAGGAAUGGAGGGAGUAGUCACUUGUUGCAAUCUCUAAAAAGACUUAUAUUUGGAAACAGAGGGAGUACAACGCAUGCAUGCAUGCCGUGACUUUCCUUUUGAUACUUGCAUGUGUUGAUUUGAUGCACCUUGCCAAAUUUUGACUAUAAAUUUAACUAACCAAAUUUUCAUGCAUGUCACAAAAAAUCACGGGGCUGUUUGGAUUGUGACUAUGUUUGUCUUAUGUUGCCACAUUAUUUUUCCCACACUUGCCACACUUGCCUAACCUGAGUUGCUCAAAUUGUUAGACACACUUUGGCUUGCCUAAGGGAAUCUUGCCACAAUUUUUGUGUCUAUGACAUGCGGGGUUCACUGCUAAUAAAAAAAUUUCUUGUCUUAGGUGUGGCUAAUAAAAAAGACUUAUAUUUAGGAACGGAGGGAGUAGAAAAUAUAAAUAAUAAUGCAUGUUGGGGCAACCCACGUUUCUGCUAAUUUUAGCCGUGGGCUUGUUCACAAUUUUUAUGAGGGGGUGGUUGUGUUGGGGAACGUAGUAAUUUCAAAAAAUUUCCUACGCACACGCAAGAUCAUGGUGAUGCAUAGCAACGAGAGGGGAGAGUGUUGUCCACGUACCCUCGUAGACCGAAAGCGGAAGCGUUAUGACAACGCGGUUGAUGUAGUCGUACGUCUUCACGAUCCGACCGAUCCAAGUACCGAACGUACGGCACCUCCGAGUUCAGCACACGUUCAGCACGAUGACGAUCCCCGGACUCCGAUCCAGCAGGGUGUCGGGGAUGAGUUCCGUCAGCACGAUGGCGUGGUGACGAUGAUGACGUUCUACCGACGCAGGGCUUCGCCUAAGCACCGCUACGAUAUGAUCGAGGUGGAAUAUGGUGGAGGGGGGGCACCGCACACGGCUAAGGAACGAUCACGAAGAUCAACUUGUGUGUUAUGGGGUGCCCCCUGCCCCCGUAUAUAAAGGAGCAAGGGGGGAGGCCGGCCGGCCCUAGGGGGCGCGCCAAGGAGGGGGGAGUCCUCCUCCUAGUGGGAGUAGGACUCCCCUUUCCUUGUCUAACUAGGAAGGAGGAAGGGGGAAGGAAAGAGAGGGAGAGGGAGAGGGAAAGAGGGGCCACGCCCCUCUCCCCUUGUCCAAUUCGGACUCCCCAUGGGAGGGGGCACGCCACAUCCUGGUCUGCUGCCCUCUCUCUCCCCUCAGGCCCACUAAGGCCCAAUACUUCCCCGGGGGGUUCCGGUAACCCCUCCGGCACUCCGGUUUUCUCCGAAAUCACCCGGAACACUUCCGGUGUCCGAAUAUAGUCGUCCAAUAUAUCAAUCUUUAUGUCUCGACCAUUUCGAGACUCCUCGUCAUGUCCGUGAUCACAUCCGGGACUCCGAACAACCUUCGGUACAUCAAAACUUAUAAACUCAUAAUAAAACUGUCAUCGUAACGUUAAGCGUGCGGACCCUACGGGUUCGAGAACUAUGUAGACAUGACCUAGAACUGUUUCCGGUCAAUAACCAAUAGCGGAACCUGGAUGCUCAUAUUGGCUCCUACAUAUUCUACGAAGAUCUUUAUCGGUCAAACCGCAUAACAACAUACGUUGUUCCCUUUGUCAUCGGUAUGUUACUUGUCCAAGAUUCGAUCGUCGGUAUCUAAUACCUAGUUCAAUCUUGUUACCGGCAAGUCUCUUUACUCGUUACGUAAUACAUCAUUCCGUAACCAACUCAUUGGCCACAUUGCUUGCAAGGCUUAUAGUGAUGUGCAUUACCGAGAGGGCCCAGAGAUACCUCUCCGACAAUCGGAGUGACAAAACCUAAUCUCGAAAUACGCCAACUCAACAUGUACCUUUGGAGACACCUGUAGAGCUCCUUUAUAAUCACCCAGUUAUGUUGUGACGUUUGGUAGCACACAAAGUGUUCCUCCGGUAAAUGGGAGUUGCAUAAUCUCAUAGUUGUAGGAACUUUGUAUAAGUCACGAAGAAAGCAAUAGCAACAUACUAAACGAUCGUGUGCUAAGCUAACCGAAUGGGUCAAGUCAAUCACAUCAUUCUCCUAAUGAUGUGAUUCCGUUAAUAAAAUGACAACUGUUUUGUUCAUGGCUAGGAAACUUAACCAUCUUUGAUUCACGAGCUAGUCAAGUAGAGGCAUACUAGUGACACUAUGUUUGUGUAUGUAUUCACACAUGUAUCAUGUUUCCGGUUAAUACAAUUCUAGCAUGAAUAAUAAACAUUUAUCAUGAAAUAAGGAAAUAAAUAAUAACUUUAUUAUUGCCUCUAGGGCAUAUUUCCUUCAGGUUGUUCAUUUAAUGGAGGGACUUGUAGUUCUACCAGACUUGAACGAUACAAAGUGCGACCUGGCACACCGUAACACCACUUGGAACAAGCGGGUAGCUAUCUCAAAAAACAAUCAAUAACUAAAAAAAACUGCGACCUGGCAUGUAGUAUAGUACACAAUUGUAAACAAUUGUUUUGAUGGAGUGAAAAAGGAAAACUACCCCACUACUUAUAUAUAGGCCGGAGCCUCCGCGCUUGCUUGCUAGGGCUGCUCUAUUUACACACUCUCAUCCUCUCCAGAUCUAUAUAUAGUACACAAUUGUAAACAAUUGUUUUGAUGGAGUGAAAAAGGAAAACUACCCCACUACUUAUAUAUAGGCCGGAGCCUCCGCGCUUGCUUGCUAGGGCUGCUCUAUUCACACACUCUCAUCCUCUCCAGAUCUAAACAAGAUAGGGGUAGUAACCCUGUCUUUCUCCCUUCAAAAAACACUAGUUUUCUAUCCUCACCGCUGGUUACAGAUCCGAACGUAUCCCCCUCCUCCGGUGAAGGGGAGGAGGGGUAGCGUUUAGGCCAUCGUCGACAGCGAGGGAGGAGACCCACUGCAGGCCGCACCGUUAUCUCUGGCCGAGCGCCGGUGCGGGAGGUCCUCCGAUCCCUUCUCGUUGUCUGUGGGCGGAUCCGGCCUCCCGACGCCCACCUAUCCACAUCCUGACGACCUUCAGGUAUAUCUUCAUUCGAAACCGCCUUAGCUCUACUUCCCCAGCUCGCUACGUCGCUGCAUGUGCAUCAUUUUCUACCUCUCAGCCCCUCUCGAUCGGAUGGUCCAACGUCACCUAUUUUUUUUCUUCUAUUGUUAGAGGUAAAGCUACUUCAUGGAGUCGAAUCUUGUACUCCCUCCGUCCGAAAAUACUUGUCAUUGAAAUAAAGUGGGGGUGGGGGAAUUUAGUAUGUACAUCAGACAUGGUACAAACAGGAAGGAAAGGGGAUGAAAGUAGUACAGACUGGUCAUCUAGCCGGUCUCUUGGUCGAGAAGGGAAAUAUAGGGGUAACACUGUACACAGUGGCAUGACCAGGACUAGAUUUUCUAUCCACACAUAGGAGUAGGUUGCUAGAGUGAACAAAAAUGGGACCAACCCAGAUAUGUUUCUUGGAUGUUUGUUUCUCGGGGCAACAAACUAUGAAUCACCACUUUAUGCCCCUGUUUACGUACAUGGUGCUGUACUGCUGGUGCACCCACUGUCCCAUGCCCUUAUACCAAAUAUUUAGGCUCCAGUCGGAAUAAAGGGGCAGAAAACAUAGGUCUUGAUGAAAAUAGAGGAAUAGGAAAGGAAUGUAGGUAUAAAACUAGGGAAGAAUGAACCGGAGGAAACUCUCAAGAGAAUGUGUUCGAAUGGACUACGAAAUGUACAGAUUUGUUUUUUUAGAGUAGCAUGCUUGGCAGUAUGAGAUGCUAUUUGUUUAUUCAGCUGCACAGUGACUACUCUUGUCCUCACCUCACGUACCACACAUAGGUUGAUUUUUUUAUUCCGGCAAACACAGCACAGCAACCUGUCUAACGCAUGGUAGCGAGCGCCUGCCUCGGGCUUCCGCCCAAAAAAUGAGCAGCACGUGGAUGUUUCUAAUCUGAUGGAAUCAGUACUACCAGACCAGCUUUCCUAUGAAACACUAUUCACCUUUCCCGUGUUCCGAACGGUUGGAAGGGAAAGAAUACGGUAGGAAUUGUGUUCCUACAAAAAUCCUGCACCAAACCUGUGAACCGAACGCAGCCUUAGAUGUUCUUAAUAUAAUGUCCGUGGUAAAAAUGAAGCCAUGCCACUGUUUUUGCCUGUAAUUGUUUGAGACUCUGACAAGUUUAGCCAAAUGUUUUUGCCUGUAAUUUUUUUUGACACCUACAACAGUAGGAGAGGCUCCUACUGUAUGUAUUAGAUUAAAGUAUCAAAAAGGUUCUUACAAGGUCAUAACCUUACAUCCAUAGCCAUUGACAAUCUAAGGUAGAAAUGGGAAACCAUAGUAAAUACUGGGUUAUGGUACAACAAAGGAUUGGACAAAAGAGGCAAUAAAUUGUGUGUGCUUCUCUUUGGUUCUAUGUCUGAGUAGAGAGAAGUCCUCUAUGAAUCUUCUUGCCCAAGAGUCGACAGUGGGGUUUAUCCUUCGGAAGUGCUUGUUAUUUCUUUCUUUCCAUAGACUCCAGGAGGCGUAUAGGAAAAUCUCCAUGAACAUUGGGUUGUUCCAUGCUGUCUUUGCAUCAUUGAUCCAAUUGAGACGAUCUCCAUUAGUUGUCCAGUGGAUGUUCAAAGUAUCCCAACAAGUCACACUGAAAUGACAUGUAAAAAUCAUGUGCUCAAUCGUUUCUUCCUCCGUGCUUCCACACAGGAUGCAACCGUGAUUGUCCCCAAUGUUAUAGUGUCUUCUCUUAAGCAUGUUUCUGGUGUUCAAACGAUCAGAUAGCAGGAGCCAACCAAAAACCUUUAUUUUCAUUGUGGCCGAGGAUUUCCAAAGCCAUUUAUAACUAUUGUGUGCAGUGACCUCCCGAAAGUAGAACUUGUAGUACCUUUUUGCCGUGUAAAUAUCAGAGCCCCACUCAUAGAGCCAAGAGUCUAUGCCCUCUUCUGCAUCAUUGCCAAUAUGUGAUGUGAUUUCCUAGAUAUCUCACAAUUCAUUGUGAGCUUGCAUGGAUAGGGGAAGAUGAAAUGUUUUGUUGAGGUUGGUGCAGCCAAGGAAGUCCUGGACCGAAAUAUCUUCAUUUUUGGCAUAAGAGAAUGCACGUGGAUGUGAAUCUGUCAGGACCUCAUCAAACCAGAGAUCUUUCCACAUAAGCGCAGUAUCUCCUCUGCGAACGAUCACAUGUGAGAUGCCUCUAUAGAUAGGAGUAAGUUUGAGCAAAUCUUUCCACCAGAACGAACCACAUGGGUCUGAGGCGUGUGGGAUUUUGUCUGUGUAGUAUGUGGACCAAAUCAAAUCAACCCACGGCAGAUCCCAAUGGUUGUAGAACUUGUGUAGGUAUUUCAUGAGUAAAGCAUCACUUUGAGUUUGUAAGUCAAGCACCCCAAGGCCUCCACAUUCCUUGGGUCUUCAAACCAUCUUCCAUGAAGCUAAAGAGUUGCACUUGUCCCCAUCAUCAGUCUUCUUAGUCCAAAGACAUUGCCUUCUAAUUUUAUCCAGUAGAUCAAUGAUCUUUUGUGGCAGUUUGAGGGUGCAGAGCGCAAAGAUGAUGAGCGAAGUGAUGACCGAGUUGAGAAGCGAAAAUUUCCCUCCAUAGGAGAUCAUUGACAAUGUUGAGGAAAGUCUUCGUUGAACUCCACAGACCAAAGGCAUGAGAUCCUGCACAGAAGGUUUUGUCGUGCCCAUUGGGAACCCAAGAUAGGUAAAAGGUAAUUUUCCCACCACGCAACCAAAAAUUUGGGCAAUAUGUUGAGCAGUUGCAGCAUCACAAUUCAUGGGCACAAGAGUUGACUUGUGGAAGUUGAUCUUUAGUCCAGUAGAAGUGGCAUAAUCGGUGAGUAAGUUUUUGACAAGAGUCGCUUGAUCUGGACACGCCGGUAACAAAAUGAUAGUGUCGUCUGCGUAUUGGAUCACUGGGUAGUCAGAUUGGUUGGGACGGUUGAAGGGCAAGUGAAGAUCAUUUCUUCGAAAGGAGUCAUUAAUUGCAACUUGCAAUAAAUCUGCCGCCAAGACAAAGAUUAAGGGGGACAACGGAUCACCCUGUCGUACGCCACAGACGCAAUUAAAUUGCCUGCCUGGGACGCCAUUAAGUAGAACUGAAGAUUUGGCAAAUGAAAAAAUGGUUUUGGUCCACCCCAACCAUUUGUCAUUGAAGCCCAUGUGCUUCAUGAUAUCCAACAUAGCCUCAUGAUCAAUGGUGUCAAACGCUUUUGCAAAGUCCAGUUUGAGAAUAACUAUUGGAUUUUUAGAAGCUUGGCAUUGGUAUAUGUACUCAAACGCCCAUGCAAGGCAAUCCUGGAUAGACCUCUUUUUCAAGAACCCAUACUGGUUUCAGUGUAUGAUUUUCAGAAUGAUUUUUUGAAGCCGAUUGGCUAAUAGUUUUGUGAUGACUUUGAGACAACAAUUUAACAGAGUAAUCGGUCGGAAGUCAUUAACUCCUUGAGGUGCAGCAACUUUGGGAAUGAGUGUGAUGAAUCCAUCAUUAAUGCUCUCCAGGGUUAGGCCACCCUCGAAGAACUGAUCGCAGAGAGCAUAAAACUCCUCCUUAAUUAUGUGCCAACAUGAUUUGAGGAAUGCUCCGUUGAACCCAUCCGGACCCAGUGCCCUAUCCGCCGACAUUUCUUUGAUGACUAGAUCAAUCUCUUGUCGAGUAAAAGGCACAGUUAGAUCAUCCAAUCUCUCAAUUCUCUUGAUGAUGGAGGGAAGAUUGAAUUUCAUCUCAUGAUUAGAAGAGGUCCCAAGUCUUUAUUUGAAGGAGUGAUAAAUGACCGAUUCCUUGCUUGCAUGAUCAUCAAUUAUGGUUCCAUCAUGUAAAGUUAAAUAGGCAAUAUUGUUUCUUCUGUAUCGUUUAGAAGCCGCUGCUUGGAAAAAUUUAGAAUUGUCAUCACCAAAAUGGACCCACCGUAUUGUGCAACGUUUCUUCCAAUAUUCUUGCUGGUAAGAUAGUAACCGCAACAUUACAUCCAUAAGUCAGUGGAUAGUUUUGGUACUCUGCUUGAAUGGCACAACCCUAGGGCGAUAGGCGACUUGUUCUGCUAAAGGCAAGGGUUAUUCAUCUCCGCUUAGUCCCUAAGAGUAUAAUUAUGAGGCAGAUUGGUGGUGCUCGUAGAUGCUGGACUGUUGCUGUUACUAUGUUGCAUAGUUCUGAUUGGAAUGCUCACUUACCUAAGGUUCCGCCUGCUGGCGAGGAUCCUCCUACUGAGGAUGGUGUCCCUCAUCCGCUCUUUGGUGAGGGCCUGACUGCUGAGCAGAUCUAUCAAGCACAACUUCACAACCGGGUGGCCCAGAAUGUGGCUGCUGAUCAUGCUAUGCACCAGGCAAAUCAGGCUAAUGGAGAUGUGGUAGUUGAUCAACAGGUCCAGUUUCAGGCUGUUUGGGGGGCCUGGCCAGCCCCUCCUCCUACCGCUGUGUACAACUUCCAAGCAUGGUUGGCUGCUGAAGGUUUACAGGUUGCUGAUGGAAUUGUCCCUAAAAAUAAUCUUCUUGACAGUCCUGCAAGGGCUUGGAAUGACUCCAUUUCCUGGAGCAGCAGUUCUGGCUCUUCAGUUAAUUCCGAUGGCCUGGUUCUCGUGCCUGUCAAUAUCCUCAAUAACCUUUGGAGAAAUAAUUUAGUCAGCUCUGCUAGCACUUCCAUGAUUCCUCUGCUGCAGCCGAGAGACAGUCUCAGCAUUGAUCUAUCUCUGAACAACUCUGGUAUGCACCUGUCUUUGUCAGACCAUGGAAAUAUGGUGGCCACAAUGUUUUUUCACUGCUCUAGGCCGGUGAGGCAAAUCAAUGACUACCUCCUUCAGGCUAUCAAACCGAUUAUGGCUACGUUUGGCCCUUGGAGCACAGGGCUGGGCUUCAGGGAUUCUCUGAAGGUUCAUGUUGAGGUUCAUCGCAGCAAUGAUUUAUUUGUGCUUUCUGCUGGGCAUCAGAUCACUAGGAACACUGAGGAAUGCCUCUCUGUGGCUCAUUCUUGGUCUGUCCCUUCUGACGGUUCGGCUAUGCAUCAGGCCAACUCCAUUUCUCUCACUCUGCCACCUUUUGAGGGGCCCCUGCCUGUGAUCGGUGCCUCCUUGCACCGUGGUAAAGUGCAGGCACCAGAAUGUGAGGUCUCUCUCCGCCGCAGUGCUAGAUCGAAUAAAUAUGAUGGAUUUCGGGUGCAUGCUCUGACUGAUACUAAGAAGAAGUUGUCCAAGGUGAAGCCGUGCCACACACCCGCUGCACCCUCCUCAAUGAUCAUCACGGAGCUGGACAGUGCUAACACUCAGGAGAUACCACCUCCCACUCCUAUUCAGGUUAUCCAACAGGUGGACAUCCUCAAAUGCGCAGUCCCGAUGGAAGAACUCACUUAAGCUUCCCUCUUGGAGUCCAACAAGGCGGAUCCUUCGUCUUCGGCCUAAUCUUCGGGUUUAUUUGCCUAAAUAGGUCUUUUGGUUAAUUGGAAUGUGCUCUGUUGGAACAUUCGUGGGCUAAACUCUGGUGAUAAACAAUUAGAUCUCUCUAAUGCUAUCAACGCUAGUGGUUGUUCGGUUUUAUGUUUGCAAGAAACUAAGAAGCCUAUGAUCGAUCAUGCUUUUAUCAAAUCUUGUUGUCCCCGUCGUUUUGAUCAAUUUGCUUUUGUUCCUUCGAAUGGGGCCUCGAGUGGUAUUGCUACCAUUUGGAACAGUUCGGUUUUCACUGGCUCGGUCAUUGCUUCUGAAGAUUUUGCGCUUGUGAUUAAAUUUCAGUCCACUCAAUCAACUCAAUCUUUGACGCUAGUGAACAUUUAUGGCCCAUGUCAAGGAGAAGCUCGAACUAAUUACACUAAUUGGCUUUUCUCAUUAAACAUCCCAGCCAAUGAAGAUUGGCUUCUCCUUGGUGACUUCAAUUAUAUUCGUAGCCCCAACAAUCGUAAGAAGCCGGGUGGGAGCAUUAAUGACAUGAUCACGUUCAAUGAUUUCAUACGAAUGCAAUGUCUUGUUGAACUACCAAUAAAAGGCCACACUUUUACUUGGAGUAAUAUGCAGCAGGAUCCACUUUUGGAGAAACUAGAUUGGUUUUUCACCUCUUGCAAUUGGACGGGUUCUUACCCUAAUACCAUUGUUAAACCCUUGGGUAAGACAGUAUCUGAUCACAUCCAGUGUGUAGUCACUAUUGAAACCUCGAUCCCAAGGAGUAAACUCUUUCGUUCUGAACCUUUUUGGAUACAACAUCCGGGCUUUAUGGACAUUGUGCAGUCAGCUUGGGAUAAGCCAGUACGAUCUACCAAUAGUGCAACUAUUCUUUGCAGAAAAUUCAAGCACUUACGGUACUAUUUGAAAAAGUGGAGUAAGAACAUUUCCCGCCUCUCUAUUGCCAUUGAUAACUCCAACAAAACUCUAGCACACUUGGACAUGAUUGAAAACAGAAGGCAGCUGACCAUUCUUGAGGCAAACUUUAGGAAAAUACUCAAGGUUUUUGCCUGUAAUUGUUUGAGCUCUGGCUGUUUCCUCUGUGCCUUUUUGUGCAAACAGGGAUAUCCAAUUCACCUGGUUGUUGUUGUGACCUUUUGGUGCACUGCACAAAACUCUUCUUAAAAGAAGUGACUUUUGUGUUGUUUAACUGGAAUGUCAGAUGGAACAGUUGGUUCAUUUUGGUGGAACUGCACAAAGGGAGAUCUGUGUUCCAAUCCUCAUCAUCCAUAGUGGCGCCAUAACCUUCCUUUAGGUAAGAAUGAUAUUUAAUGCAUGUGUUCAUCUCUAUUUUCCGUCUGCCAUGAGAAAAUAAUGCUAUUUUUUACUAGUACACUUGUACUCCCUCACUGACAAAAGCAAUUCUGAAUUAGAAGGCCAAUCAUGUACUUGGUUUCACCAACUGGUGAGGAGAAAGAGAAACAUGGCAUGAAGAGGAAGAAGAAGAAGAAUAAACAGUGCCAAGGCGAUCUUGCUGAAGCCAGAGGCCUCAGUCGAGGCUAUUCAAGGGCUCCGGCAACGACUACCUUACAUGUGAGACGAUCCUCCAGGGAGCCCUUCCACUUCUGCUGUCUCACUUAAUUAAUUAGGAGCACUUAAGUACCACUAAUUUAUUACUGCCUAAUUUUCCUGUUGGAGUUAAACAAAUCUUUAGUAGGACCCUAUGCUGAAUCAUGUACGUGUGAAUGUUUGUAUAUGGAGGUGAAUCAUGUGGUGGAGCAGGGAGGGAAUAUUAUUAGUGUCAUGACAUAAUAGUGCUAUUGUUUUGCAUGUCAAUUUAUUGCCAUUGGUUCAAUGAGGCAAUGUUUUGCGUAUUGUCCAUCAUGAAUUUGAUGCUACUGUUUGAGUAAUAUGCUAAUGUCUUCCUAUCCUUUCUCACUGAGCUAAUGAAGGUUUCACCUUGUUCCUACUUGUGCAAUCAGGGAUCAUGUUGUGCCAAUCAUACAUUUUAGUGGAACUACACAAGGCAAUACAAUGAACUGUAUCCCAGCCAGUGCUUUAACUCUGCUGGAAGUUCUUGAUAAUCUUUCGAUAUAAUCUCAGCACUGGUAAACAAGAGUGAUUUCAACCAUACAUUUGAAGUGCACAAAAUAUAUACUAUUGUGUGAUUCCAGUGAGUGCUUUAUCAUCUCUUAUGGGACUACAUGAAUAAGCUUUUUUUCUCAGGUUGGUACGGGCCUAAAGCCUUCAUUCAUAUUAGUUUGCUUUCAUCUCUAUUUGUAUCAUGCUACUGUCAUGAGAAACUCCUUUAUCUUUGCACUUUUAAGUUUUGCAACCUAUGAUAAAUGGCAAUGCUUUGAGUGUUGAGUUGAGCUAAUUGGCACUGAUUAAAUAAACUAAUACCUCUCUUUAAGCAAGACUACUAUGUUGCUAACUUUACCCAUUAAGAUAAUGAGGGUGCUUUUAUUUGUUAUUGUAUGUUUCAUCAACUAGUCCCACUAUUACAGUAAUCUCACUCUCUCAAUAUAUGUGCCAACAGGGAUGCUCGAUUUUGGUGGAACUGCACAAAAAUUUUGGGUGCUUCAUUGCCUCGACAGCUUCCGUCCUUUCCUGUCAGUCGCUAAUCUCCGCUUGCUUUCUUCCUUUGCUGUCAGUCGCUUGGCUUAUCUCGGCUUCCAGUCAAAGGAAAUAGUAAUUGAUAUGCUACCUCACACAGGUUGGUACUGGUCUUUAUCCUGAUUAUUGUGCCUGUCAUAUGUAUUGGUAAUUUGGUAUUGUGCUACUGUUUGCCGAUUUCAUAAAGGAGUAAUUUGGAGCCUGAACUCGCAGGCAAAUCAUUACAUCGGGUGAUUUCAGUAGAACUGCACAAAAUGAUCAGAUGGACAUGUACUUAUGCUGCUGCUAUGUACUCCAAAGUUCACUCAGACAAGCAUCGAUGUUGACAAGAAGUGCCUCGAGUAUCAACCGCGUCAGCCAAUUGUCAAACUCCAAGUAUUAGGAGAGUGAACGCCAAAAAUAUUGCUUGGUGCAUAGCCCAGAAAAAUGCAGUCCAGUCUUUGGUCCCAACUUGUGCCUUUUGGUUAUCGGCACAUAUGAUAGAGAACUAUAUGGCAUGGAGUCUAAAGAUUCCAGACAAGUUGGUUGACGCGUAUAUUCAUCUGGGACUUAAUCAGUUUGCACGCAAGGAUGCUCCAUUUAAGUUGAACUGCACAAAAAAUUUGGGUGGUUCAUUUUCUCAACUGCCUCCUUUCUCGUCUGCAAUGUAGAAUUUUGGCGAUAUACAGGACCAAGAUGAGCCAGUAAACUAGUUGGAUGAAAGUAGUGGCCAAGUUGCUCAAACCUCCGUCGGCACGAGGCCACUAUUUGAGGAUAAACCUACAAGCAAAGUUCAGAUUGUCCGUGCUGCCUCUUAUGUACUCGAAAGUUUACUCGUACAAGAACUAAUUUUAGCAAGAAGUACCUCUGAUUGAACACCAUUUACCAGUCUGUACCCUAGGUAAUUAAAGUUCGUCCAUGGAUCAUAUUGGCUGUGAUCUCAAUCAUUUGGAUGCAUAAACAUACUGAACAUGUGUAUAUCUGAAUCUUUUUGUGAAUUAUGUAUGAAUAUUGUCGUGUGAUCUAUCAAUCAUUUGUACGCAUAGAUAUGCUGAGCUUGUGUAUAUAUGAAUCUUUUGAGUUGUUGAUAGUGAAUGUUGGCUAUGAAUAUGAACGUGUCCUGUGAACCUGAGUUUGAUAUGAAUUGCAACAGAACCAGUUAUAACCCUUCUCCUCCUCUCAAUCUGCGACUCCACUGUCGUGUUUUCCCAUCUCCGAGUCGUUCCCGUCUGGGGCCUCGCCAUCGUCCACUGCCUCGCUGUGUUCAGUGCGGCGUGGUCAACAAACAAGAGUCAUCGGAAGAGGACUGUACGUGGAGAGCCUGACGGCUGGGACCCAUGAGGUCCAUGGUCGCACGCAAGGAAAGUUCCUCCUUAUUAAGCUGAAAAAAAAUGUUUCCUCCACCUGACAGCUGGGACCCACCGGCUGUAUCUUCGCACGGAAAGAAGUGCCUCCUUGUUUUGCGAAAAAAUUAUUCAUCCCGUUGACAGCUGGGACCCGUCAGAUUUGGUGACUGAAUUGUGGGCCUGCUAAGCAGACGUGUACGCACGGCUUUGUCAACUUAAUCAACAAAUGAUUCUAGCAGCUGGACCAUUGGAUGUUAAUCCAACAGCCGUGCUCCUUCUUCAACCUCUAUUCUUGCUCCUGUCUCCUGUGGGCGGCACCGCGGCUAUGCUGCCACACACCUGAACCAGUGAAGUUUCCCACUCCUCUCCAUCUGCGACUCCACUGCCCCGUCUUCCCCAUCUCCGGGUCGUUCCAGUCUGGGUGCGCUCGGCACGGUGUGGUCAACAUGGUCAACAACCGAGGGUCAUCGGAAGAUGACUGUACGUGAGAGGCUGACAGUGGGGACGCACCACGCCCAUGGAUGCAUGCAUGCAACGGAACGCGGCGAGGUCAACGUGGUCAAGGAACGACUUCCAUCGGAAGUAUACUGUACGUGGAGAGUCUCAGCUGGGUCCAUGGCCGCAGCAAGUAAGUGCCUCCUUAUUACGCAGAAAAUAAUGAUUCUUCCAACUGACAGCAGGGACCCACUAGACAGGCCACCGUAUUGUGCAAAAAAAAAAACGUUUGCCCCGUGACUGCUGGGACCCACCUGACGGGCCACCGUAUUUCGUGAAAAAACAUCCCCCACUGUCAGCUCGGACCCAUUGGAAGUGCCUCCUUAUUACGCACAAAAAAAAUGAAUACUCCCCUGCUAGCUGGGACCCACCUUGGUGGGAGGCUGACUUGUGGGCCUACUAAGUUGACGGGGACGAAGGGCUUUGUCAACUUAGUCAAUAUGAACGAUUCUAGCUCCAGUGACCGUACGAUGUCCAUCCAACGGCCGUAGUGCUUCUUCAACCUCUGGUCUUCUUGCUCCAGCCGCCCAAACCAGCGCCGGUCGUGCCUCAUGCUCCUGCCUCCCGUGGCCGGCUGUGCUGCCGCGGAGGACUCACCGCCCCUACUAUUCCCACCGCUGUCCAGGCCCUGCGGCGACGGCAGCCUCACACCGCAGCCGAACCAGUGAACCCUCGUACUCCUCUCUUCGUGGGCGUCCACUGCCACGUCUUCCUGGCUCCAUGUUCUCCCCUUCCUAGGCCUCGCCGUCGUCCACUGCCGUGGUGCUCUCCGCGCGAUGUGGUCAACAUGGUCAAGGAACGACUUCCAUCGGAAGAGUACUGUACGUGGAGAGGCUGGCAGCUGGGUCCACGGCCAUAACCCAGUUUUUUUUGUGAUUUGCCAAGUUAGUCGCUUUGUCAGGCCUGUUGGGCUGCAAAUCUUUCAAGACGAGGAGAGCUUUCAUUCGGCUGGCCGGGAAAAUGGCCCAUCAGUAAUGAGAAAUGCGCUGUACAUUUUAAAACACAUCAAAGCGGCAAUUAGUUUCAAAUAUCUUUUUUUUUCAUUUCAAGAUUUUAAAUUACAUUAAUUUUUAUGCGUGGAGAAUUUGUUGGAUUUUAUAUUGAUAUACAUUUAGUUUUAAAAUCAAUUUGAAUGUAAGUUGAAAUUUUGGGAUUAAAAACAGUUCGGACCACACCGAAAUAUGCAAAAUUUCGUAUAAUUUUUUAACCGUGGCCACAAUAUGGGCUGUAAUGCUUACAAAAAGAAUAUGGGCUCCAAACAAAACCUUAAGAAUUAGCAAAUGGGAUGUAAAUUAUUAGAAAUAAUGGCAGAUGGGCUGUAUGCUGUUUCCCACAGAUUUAAGGCUUUCCUAAAAAAAGGUUGACGCACAAGUAGUGACUGUUGGAUGGCCAUCCAACAGCCGUCGUGCUUCUUCAAUCUCUGCUCUUCCUGCUCCAGCCGCUCAAACAAGCGUCGGCGGGACUGCCUGCUCCCUCCUCCCCGCGGCCGACUGUGCUGCCGCGCAGGCCUCACCGCCCCAUCGUACUCCCGUCGCUGGCCUAGCCAUCCCUCUACUCACCCACACCUGCUGUUAUUCUCCGGCGACGGCAGACGAACUAGCAAACCCUCGUUCAGUCAUACUCCCCUCCGCGUGGGAAACAACUGCUGUGUCUUCCCUGCCUCCGUGUCAUUCCCUUCCUAGGCCUCGCCGUCGUCCACCGCCCUGGUGCUCUCGGUGCGGCCUGUUCAACGUGGUCAACGACCGACAUGCAUCUGAAGUGGACUGUACGUGGAGAGGCUGACAGCUGGGUCCACGGCCGCACGCAAGGAAAUGCCUCCUUAUUACGCGCAAAAUAAUGAUUCCUCCACCUGACAUCGGGGACCCACCGAAAGGGCCUCAGUAUUUCGUGAAAAAACGUUACCGCCGCUGACAGCUCGGACCCACCAGCUAUAUCUUCGCACGCAAGGAAGUGCCUCCUUAUUACGCAGAAAAAAAUGAAUACUCCCCCUGUUAGCUGGGACCCAGUAUAGUGGUAGGCUGACUUGUGGGCCUACUAAGUUGAUGGGGACGGAGGGCUUUGUCAACUUAGUCAAUAUGCACGAUUCUAGCUCCAGUGACCGUACGAUGUCCAUCCAACGGCCGUAGUGCUUCUUCAACCUCUGGUCUUCUUGCUCCAGCCGCCCAAACCAGCGCCGGUCGUGCCUCGUGCUCCUGCCUCCCGUGGCUGGCUGUGAUGCGGCGGAGGCCUCACCGCCCCCUACUACUCCCACCGCUGGCCAGGCCAUCCCUCUACUCACCCACAUCCCCUGUUAUUCUGCGGCGACGGCAGCCUCACACCGCAGUGAACCAGUGAACCCUCGUACUCCUCUACGCGUGGGCAUCCACGACCGCGUCUUCCCCGGCUCCGCGUCGUCCCCUUCCUAGGCCUCGCCGUUGUCCACCGCCUUGGUGCUCUCGGUGCGGCGUGGUCAACGUGGUCAAGGAACGGCUUCCAUCGGACGUGGACUAUACGUGGAGAGGCUGCUGGGUCCACGGCCGCAGCAAGGAAGUGCCUCCUUAUUACGCGCAAAAUAAUUAUUCCUCCACCUGACAGCGGGGACCCACCGGACGGGCCACCAUAUUUCGCAAAAAAAACGUUCCCCACCUGACUACUGGGACCCACCAGCUACACCUUCGCACGCAAGGGAGUGCGUCCGGGCAAAACAAAAACGAUUCGCCCCCCUGAUUGCUGGGACCCACCAGCUACAUCUUUGCACGCAAGGAAGUGCCUGGCAGUCGGGACCCACCUGGUCGAAGCAUACGUAGCGUUGUCAUUCUGGUCGCGAACGUGUACGUACAUACUGGUCGAUGUAGAGGCGCACACGUGUCGUAGAUGUAGAGGUACGCACGUGUCGUAGUAGAGGCGCGCAUGUAGCAUGUACACGUACGUACAUCGGUGAGGGUGCAAGAAAUAAAAUACGGCCACAUACGUACAUACGGGCAGGGUCUCGAACGCCUACUCGCGCAUACGUACGUGGCUGGGUCUGAACGGAGAAACAACGUCGUCGUCAUGUUCAUGGGGAGCCAACCGGCUGCGUCGGAAUGGAAUGCGUGGUCAUGUUCAUCGGGAGGGCUUGGACGGAACAAGUGAUGGAAACGAGGCCUGGCGUACCACACAACGGAGGAAACAGCCUUGUGUUCGACUGGCCACGUUCGAAACGGGGUCCUGUUGAUCGAGAGGGGCCUGGCGUACCGCAAAACGGAGGAAACGGACCUCCUACGGUCGAAACGGGGUCCUGUUGAUCGGGAGGGGUGUGGCGUACCGCAAAACGGACGAAACGGACCUCCUACAGUCGAAAUGGGGGUCCUGUUGAUCGGGAGGGGUGUGGCGUACCGCAAAAUGGACGAAACGGACUUGUGUUGGAGCGCUACGGUCGAAACGGGGGGAGGGGUGUGGCGUACCGCAAAACGGGACUCCACGGGAUACUGUUCAUCUCCACCGUCGACCUCCUCCAGCCUCCACGGGCUACCAUCGACCUCCUCCAGCCUCCACGGGCUCCUGUUCAUCCAGCCUCCACCGCACGCUACUCCACCAGCUACUGUUCAGCCACCCCUCCAUGGGCACCCCUCCACCGUCUACUGUUCAUUCGGCCCUCCACACCACGGGGUCCUGUUCAACCACCCCUCCACGGCCACCCCUCCACCGUCUACUGUUCAUCCAGCCCUCCACACCACGGGUUCCUGUUCAUCCAGAGGCAACGCCACCGCUCAUUGUUCAUCCAACCCCCCGCAACACUCACUGUUCAUCCUAGAGGCAGCAUCGAUCGACUUCAGUUAGCAGCAGUAGCGAAGGAAUCACUCCAUCGGGUUCAGUUAACAGCCAUCGAUUGAUCGCUCGGGUUCAGUAAUGCGUAGCGUGCAGUGCAAUCGAUCGGGUUCAGUUAGAGCCCAACGCCUCGCUCGGCUUCAGUUAGAGCCAACGCCUCGCACACACGCGCGUACGUAAGAGAGAAAUGCACAUCGCUCCGCCCCCGACCUCCCACCGUAACCGGCAACUCCCCGAAAUUUUCCUCCCCCUCGCUUCUACCACGAUUUUUUCCGUCAUGGACGGCCCAAAGAAUGUCAUGCAGCUGCGUCUCCGGCCUGCCCAGGACGAAAAGCCCUUCCGUCAUGAUUUUUUGUCAUAGAAGUAGGAGCCCACCACAUCUAUGAUGAUACCGGGUUUUGUCACAAUUAUCGUCAUAGAAGUGUCAUAUGUAUGACAGAAUUUUUUUCGUUCGGCCCAAAAUGUCACGAAUGUGUCUUUUUUUGUAGUGCUCCUAACUACUCCUGGUCGUCGGCAGCCUCCACAUAGUAGCAUCCAUCGGCGGUGGCAUCUGGCUCCAGGGAUCCACCAUCUGGUUGCAUCAACCGGAAAGAAGAGGGAAGGGGGAAAAGGGGUAGCAAAGCAACCGUGAGUACUCAUCCAAAGUACUCGCAAGCAUAAGAUCUAUACUAAGUAUGCAUUUGUAUCAAAUGGAAGGGUGGUAUAUGUGGACUGAACUGCGGAAAGCUAGAAUAGAGGGGGAAAGCCUAGCCUAUCGAAGACUAGCAUCUUCACGCAGCUCCGAGCAUCUUGCAGCAUGUAGAAGAGUAAAGAAUAGCAGUUUAAUAUUUAGCAAGCAUGUUGUAACAUUAAUGCCCAGAGAUCCUUCCUCGACUCCUUGCGAGAAAGCAAUCUCGGAGCCACAUAUUCAAGUAUCCAUUCGUAGUUGUAUAAGAUCAGGAUAUAAGUCUGAACGUCCGUUACAGUGGACACGGCUAUUAAUAGAUAAUCUUCCCUGCAGGGGUGCACCAUGUUUUCCAACACGCUCGAUCACUCUGGCCGAACACACUUUCCUGGGUCAUGCUCGGCCUCGGAAGAUCAACACGUCGUAGCCCUACCUAGGCUCAGCAGAGAGGUCCCCGCCGGUCUACCUCCUAAGCACUCCGGGGUCUGAGCCCAUCGCCCAUUGCACUCCGGGUCGUUGCGCGCAGGGCAGGUCCAGGCUCCACCACGACAGAAUGGUGCCGGCCCAGCCGUGCCGCACUGCUCAACUGGACGUCUGACAAAGCUUCGGCUGAUACCACGAUGUCGAGGCCCAUAACUAUUCUCACGUGGUGGUUGGUUCAUAAAGGCCAAAGGCCAACUCAGAUCAAAUACCCAAACCAUAGUGUAUUAUUUGCUUGCGGAGACGAGCAGAGACUCAUGAUCGAAAGUGACCCCGUCGCCCCGUCUCGUGGACUUACGACAAGGGCCUAGAAUGCCCGGCCGUGCCAUGUCAUUAUCUUGCGGGUGCUCUCCAGGCCCGCCUGACUUGCGCCAAAGUCUCAAGUAAAGUCAAAGUAACCGUGUGCCCAGACAUCAAGGGGAAAACCAGAGGAAUCACCCCCGGUGAAUUCCACUCAAUGUAAUCAUCAAGGUGAACAUAAGAGGGACCACCCUCGAGGUUCACACUUGAGGUGUUGAACGACAGAGCCGUAUCGGAAAUGGUGAAAGAGGAAAUCACCCUCGAUGACCACAACCGAAUAGCUACACUACAGAAUUAUCAUCAGGAGUGCGUUAUGAGGGAUCACCCUCGGCACUCGAUAGUAACUCUACAGAGUCGAGCAACAAAAGGGGCGUGAUGUGAUGUGAGGUGUCGGGCUCCGAUCGUCGAUCACGUCGAUCGAGGUGUCGAUGAUGAAGCAGGGGCAACAAGGACAAGGUGGGGGCCACUGAUGGAUCACUAACCAACCUAUACUAAGCAGUUUAGGAUAACCAAGUAGGUAAUAAUAAGCAGGUACAAAAGUAGGCUAUGCAUCAAAAUAGGAGCAAACAAUAACAAUAACAAAAUCUAAUGCAAGCAUGAGAGUAUAGAAUGAGCGAUAUCGGGAUGAUCAAAAGGGGGGGCUUGCCUAGUUGCUCAGACAAGAAGGAGGGUCGUCGUCGACGUAGUCGAUCACAGCGGCAUCAACAGCGGUCUCGGGGUCUACCGAAGAGAAGAGGGGGAAGAAACAGUAAAUACACGCAAACAUAUGCACAACAUGAUUAUAAGCGGGUCUAGAGGUGUUCUAACACAGUGCUCGGCGUUACUGGUGAAGGGGGAAACAUCCGGGAAAGUUUUCCUGAUUCCGGACGUCUGUCAGACAGAUGAACCGAAGGGGAAAAGUUCAAUGUUUGCUAUGCUAGGGACGUGUGGCGGCCGAACAGACCAUGUAUUCGGAUCCGUCUCAUCGUUCUGAGCAACUUUCAUAUACAAAACAUUUUCAUCCGAGUUACAGAUUAAUUUAUAUGGUUUUCUAAAGUUUUUAAACAUUUCUGAAAUUGUCUCUAAUUCAAAAAGGACUUAUUGUGCAAGCAUGACGUCAUGCUGAUGUCAUUCAGGUCAAUAGUCAACUCUGACUGAGUUGACUAGUCAAACAGGGCAGUGGGACCUGUUUGUCAAAGGCACAUUUAAAUAAACAUGUUUUAUUAGACUAAUAUGCAAUUAGGUUAAUUAAACAUAAUUAAUUUGCACUAAUUAACAGGAUUAAUUAAUUAAUUAAAUUAUUUUUAUAUUUAUGUACACAUAUUCUUUUUGUUCUUUUUUUAAUAGGGGCGGGCGAAACGGGGCAGAGCCCCCUGGGGUGCGAGAGCCCGCAUGGGCGCACGCCCAGGGUCGUGGCCGCAGCCACAACAGGAGCGGCCGGCGCUGGCCGGCGGGCAGGGCCGACGAGGACGGCCCCCGACACGGUGGAGGAACGGGGCGAGCGGCCACGGGCGGAAGCACGGGUGCGAGUCGCGCGUUUGGCGGCUACAGAGCAGGCAUGGUCCAGCGUUGGCGGAAGGGCGGGUCGGAUGGAGGCUCAUGGGCGGAGUAGUGGUAGGGCGGCAACCACGGCGAUGCGGCGCGAGGACGGCGGCCGAGGCCGCCGAGGGUCGCAGGGGCGAGAGGAGGAGGACUGGGGUUGCUCACCCGCGUUGAAGGGGAGGCCCGAUGCAGGGGGAACACGACGGCGGGAUCGGCGUGGGGGUGAGGACGAGGCGGUGGCGACAAUGACCUCGGGGCGCAGCGGCACGGCGUCAAAUGGC
RNAcentral lists this long non-coding RNA (22685 nucleotides) under Triticum aestivum (bread wheat). RNAcentral's name for it is "long non-coding RNA (TAES_LNC021978)". Lineage: Eukaryota; Viridiplantae; Streptophyta; Magnoliopsida; Poales; Poaceae. The record is from RNAcentral.